CUCCCGCUGCAGCUCAAUGAACAGAACCUCGUCCAGGAAGUCCCCCACGUCCGGCAAUGUGAAGUUGGCUAGGAGGAACAGAGGACCCCAGAGGGAACAAGGAAUGGAGCUAUGUUGGGCAGAGAAGAGGCAAGCAGAAGCAAAUAGAGAGCAAGCUCAAAGGAGUGAUUAAGGGGCUGGGGAAGAGCCUUUUCACCUACAGAUCCUGCUGUGACGUCUGUUUGGGACCCAUCAUUUCGUACCUUUCAUUUCUAAUACAGCAUGAUCUGGGACGUCCUUCCCUUCUUCAUCUGUUCGCUUUAUUGUUCGGUCUUUUAGGUCCUCGUCAGUUGGACAAAUUACAAUAGCUUUGCGCUGGAAGCCUUCAAAUGGUCUCAUUUUUCGUCUCUGGGCUGACCCAUAAACAUUUGUCUAGGGGUAGGUAACAGAAGAGGCAAGAGAUGGCAUAUUUGGUGCGUUACGAGCUGUUUUUUUUCCCUCUGAGAGAGAAUACGUAGGCCAAGGACUGAGAAAAGGAUAUUGGUUCUUCCUCUGAGCACAGAAACUCAGGAAACUGCCCUUCUUAACAUUUAGGAUUCUUGAGUCCAUCCUUAGACAUGGAAUUGACUUGGAAAGUGGCUGCCACCAAGCACAGGGACAAGUGAUUCCUAAUGGUUGGGCCUGGCUUCUUAAUUUUCAUUGUUAUUGGAAUUGCACUUUUCCAGCCCAUUCUAAAAGUAAUACAUGCCCUUUGUAAAAAAUUCAGAGAACGAGGUAUAAAGUCUAGAGCUUGAAUCCCUCCAUUGGCUUCCCACCAGCCUUGCUCCCCAGAGGGAACCUGUACUGAAUUUCCUGUGUACACUCCUAGGAGUACUGACGUGAUUUUUAACACGAAUGAACUGUAUUUACUACGCAUACUCUUCUGUAGCCUCUUCUCACGUCACGAUGUUUUUCUGACACCUUUCUGUGCCUGCAUUCCCUCUUAUUGACUGCAUGGUAUCUGUAGAAUGAGUGUGCCAUUAAUUGACCAGCCCCUUUAAUGGCUGCAUAAAUGGUUUUCAUCAACACUCUGGUUCUUCUAUUGCUUCGGCCCUCCUCUGAAACAUCAGCCUCACCCACAAACUCUUAACCAACCAGACAGUUUGGCAAGGCCAUGCUUUUGGCAAGUAGUUUUGCUACUAAUUUUCUCCUCCUCUGUGUGAUGGGCCGAAACCCUGGUGGUGUAGUGGUUAAGAGGUACGGCUGCUAAUCAGAAGGUCAGCAGUUCGAAUCCAACAGGCACUCCUUGGAAACCCUAUGGGGCAGUUCUACUCUGUCCAACAGGGUCGCUAUGAGUUGGAAUCGCCUUGACAGUAGCGGUUUUUUUUCUUUUAAUGGGAUGGGCAGGUGCAUCCUGGGCAGUGGGGGUACAGAACAGUGCUCUAGGGCAUCCUUAGCUGAUGAUGGUAAUGCAACAGCUCCCACUGACUGAAUAGCUCCCACACUCUGGGACCAGAACCCAGGUCUGUUGAACCCCAGGGCCCCACGGACUCAGCCUGCAUAUCUGAAUCACCUGGCCGCUACUGUAAGAGACAGCAGUCUAAGCGCCACUGGAGUCCUCCUGGGUCCAGAUCUCUGGAGUGGGACCCAGGCAUCUAGACAGGUAUCCCUCCCUCUGCAAACUCUGGGACUGAGCAGAACUGGGGGAUGAGAAAGACCUAUAUUUAAACAACUUUUCAGUGGCUCUGACAGGGACCCAAGGGAAGCAGGUCUGUAAAGCGGAAUGUAGAAAUGGACAAAGUUUUAUUCUAAAGGGCAAUCCAGCAAGAUGGAAAGUGCCCAGAAUCAGAUCCUGGUUUGGCCACUAACUCACUUGGGGCCAGUCAUGUAGCUUCACGUGUAAAACGGGGAUGAAAAGCCUCCCUCCUGGGGCUGGUCAGGGACCGAUGAGGAAGAUGACCACAAAAGCAACCGAGAAAGCUGAAGAACGACACGGGGGCGGGAGGCUAUGCAGAAGCCUGAGUCUCCUGGAGCCAUGCCAGCCUUCCGGGUGGGAAACACCUUGGCCAGAGGCAGGCCGCACACUGGGACACUGGGAGAGCUCGGCAGACCUUGGCCCUAACCUCACUUGACCAUUCAGACCUGUGCGGCCCAGGGAAGUGACCUCCCCUCAGAGACCCUGCCUGCUCUUGAGUAAAAUCAGCUUAACCCAUUGCUGUCCAGUCAAUCCCAACUCAUAGCAACCCAAUCAACUCACUGUGUUUAUCGAGUCUCAAGCCCUGAAAAGGGAAGGCAGUGUGAACAUCAUACAGUCCUCGUAAAGACUAUGUUUACAUAAGUAAGAGCCCUUGGCUUGGCCUAGGGCCUGGCUUGCAGCCAACACUCAACAGAUGUGAGCUGCCACUGAAAGGAUGGUCAGGGGGUGGGGGCUGUAGAUAUUUUUCUGUAACACUGACUUGAAGCAACCCUCAGACCAAGGACAAGGUUACAUUUUAGUGGUCUCCCAAACAGAAAUGCAGGGACAGUGGGAUGGGUGGGAGGAACACAGGCUCUGAGGAAGGAACGCUGGUUGAAAUUCCAGCCUUGUCCUUUGCCACCUGUAAGACUGUGGACAAGUCACCUAAUUAGUCUGAGUCUCACAUUUCUUCAGCUGAAAGGCAGGGAUCCUAUCACCCUCUUCCCCGUGGCUUUGGUAAGGAUCAACAGAUGUGAAAGUCUUUGGCAUGUGGCACAGAAAGAACUCAACAGAGAGUGGAUGUAAAAAUAUGACAAACAGAACCGACAUCACUCUCAGGUGAUGCUUCCCAUUGGAAAGUCUCGAAGAAAACCAAGUUGGAGUAAAGGAUGAAGUACAAGACAUGAGGAACACGAAGCUGGGCUGUGGCUGGGCCAGGGCCAACAAGCCCAGUGCAACCCUGCUGGGAGAUCUGGGCUGUGGGUGCAGCUGUUCUGGAAGCCAAUCAGCCGACACACAUACCAGGGAAAGACAGACUUCCUGUUCCCCAGGGAAAGUUCAGAAGAUGAGAUUUUGGACUUGGAGUUGAUGUAAAGCUUUUGGGAUGAUAUGACGGGGUAAAUGUGUUUUGCAUGUGGCAAGGAAACUAAUUCUGGGGGUGCCGAGGGGUGGUAUGUUUUAGAUUGAAUUGUAUGCCCCCCUAAAAUAUGUGUUGUGAAUCCUAGCCUCUAUGGCCGUGGUUAUAAACCCAUUUGGGAAUGGGUUGUCUUUGUUAAGUUAAUGAGACAGGAUUAGUGUAGGGUAUGACUUAAGGUCAAUCUCUUUUGAGAUAUGAGAUCAAACAAGCAAGCAAGAGAAGCAGUGAUGGGGGAAGAGAGAUAUAAAGCCACCUGAAGAUCACCCAGGAGCGGAAACUCAAAGAGACAAGGACCUUCUUCGAGAGCCAACAGAGAGAGAAAGCCUUCCUCUAGAGUCAGCAGCCUGAAUUCAGACUUAUAGCCUCCUCACCUAUGAGAAAAUGAAUUUGGUAAAGCCACCCACCUGUGGUAUUUCUGUUACAGCAGCACUAGAGAACUAAGACAGAGAGUUAGCUGCCGGGGGCUGUUGCCACAGCAAACACUGUGAGGUCAGAGCCCCGGGCCAGCCCAGCACUGCUGUGGCCACCAGGGGCUGCUGGUGGCUGUUGCUAGGAAACUGACAGGCUAGCACAACAGCUAGGUCAGCUUUUCCAGCUGCGUGGGUUACCUCCGCCUAACUCCUCCUUCUCCCGGUCCCACCCUGCUUGAAGAUGUAGCCUUAAGACAAGGUCUGGGUGCUGUCUGUGUUCACCAGUCCCCCAACCCCAGGAAUGUGGGCCAGGGGACAGCUGGUUUCUCAGCGAGGAGCUGCAGGAGUAACUGUGGGUGUGACAGUCUGGGGGCUUGAGGAAGCAGCACGGCUGAAGUUCGAAAAGCCCCACUCUCCCCCAUCUACUCUCACAUGUCCCACUCGGCAGUGGCAGGCUGGCAGGAGGGAAGCCCGGCUGAAUCCUGGGGGAGAACACUUAAGGCCGCUGAGGAAAGAAUUUGUUCCAGACUCACAGUGAGGAGCCCCAGUGGAAGCACCCUGUAGGAGGAGAAGUGGCUGGUGCAUCAAGAACGGAAGGGGCAGAAGGAACAGCCCUUCCCCACUGCCUACCGAGAAGCAGUUUACUCUGGGCCUCUGCCCGAGCCUGGGUUUCUGUUUCAGACAAAAGUGUAGCACCUGCCAAGAGGGACAAAAAGCAGGCCUAGAGGUGCAUGUUCUGAAGGCCGAGUUCAGUUGGUGGUGUCGUCACUUCCAGUGGUGCUUCUGACAGUGCCUGGCCUGGCUCUGGGCUGUUACAGCACUCUAUGGGAAAUCCUAGCCUGCAGCCCUCAACUCUUGGAGGGUUUGGGCACCACGGCCCUGGUGCUGCCCCACCCAGAACCCUCCAGGAAGGCAACUUUGCUGCCUCAGAGGGGCAACUCCUGUCCUGUAAGCAGUAUCGAGGUCCCCUGGUAGCCCAGGCUCAGGCUAGGCAGCGUCUCGUUCCAGAGGCUAUCCACUUAGAGGACCCCAAGAAGCCACCUGAAGCAACGGCGUCUUCUACUCCUUCUGUCUUCUCUUCAGCACUUCACUAAAUGUGGCCACAGCUUCCAACUGCCCUCAGCACAAAGCCUCAACUCUUUAAAAAAAAUUUUUUUUUUGUGCACAAAGCCUCAACUCUUGUAAUCUUUCAUGUCCUGGCUCAGAUAGCCCCUCCACAGCUUGCCCAGACCCUCACAGCAGUACCAAUACUCUCAGUUGUGCCAUCUCAGAAGCCAGUAGAUCUGUGUUCUACCAGUAAAUCAGCUGUGACUUUGGACAGGUUCCUGUCCUUUUUGAGGCCUCGGUUUCCCCUCUGACCCACCUCCUGACUACCUUUUCCUCUUGGCGCUCCACAGCUGCACUGCCCAUAUGGUCUCAAGAGGCUGCUUGUGUGCUCAUGGAGUUUAGGUCAAAGCCUCAGAAAUCUGAGAGCCUGUGGCCCAAGAGAUACAUCUUUGCGGGAGCAGCUGGGGGUCCUGACCCGACCAAGCCAGAAUCCAGGAUCAGACAGCCCUGCCUGGCUUCCGCAGGCACAUUUUCCUUCCUUCUCAUGAGUGGGCAUUUCCGAGGUCAGUCUACAUAACAGGAGACACACAAGAAACAAGUGUGGGGAGACCUAACUGCUCUGGAAAGCCAGAGAUGGGAAAUGACCCUGGGCUGAGACCAGGGGGCUGAGGGACUCUGACUGCAGCGCUGGUCUACAGUGUGGAGACUUCAUCUAGCUCAGGAGACAGCCACGCAUCAACUAAUUCUUCACUGCCAGAGCUGGCAGGGUGGAAAGCGCGGGGAACUGGCCAGGGUCUGCUCUAAACCUUCCUACCUACCUCCACACACAAAAGCACUCCUUCAACUCACACCCAAAGUUUUCUAGAAUCCACCUUCGGGGUUCACACCAAAGCAAGGAAAACCAUUGGCUUUAGACUCCCUUCCCAGGCCCGAGUAACCGGCAGCUUCAGGCCCCAAGACAGUCCUCCCCUAUGUGGUUAACCAGGGAGCCCUGCUCUCCCACUUUUACAGCCAUGGGUCUUUUCUUUCUCUCACUGUUACCUGACCAGAAGACCACAGGACACCUGGCCCAACCCUGGACCUUGCCCCUGGACCAGCCAGCACCAGGUGAGCACUGACAGUGCCCCCGCUGCUACAAGGCAGCUGAGGCGCUGGGGUCCUGCCCUCAGAGAAAACCCGUGUGCUUAGGCGUCCUGAGCUGAGGUCCCACCCGUGACUACGGGGCCUAUACCACUGGGCCACCUUUUUGAAAUGGAUUUUACCGGCAAACUGAGAAAAGGGCAGGCAGGGAACAGCUGCUGAGGCAUCCAAAAGAGGCACCCUCGGGAUGCUAAACACCACUGCUCUAACCCUUCAGGGCAACGAGGCCCACUGGGCCAAGCCUGACAAGGACAAUAGGGCAGAGUGAGGCCAGGAGUUAAAAAAACAACAGCCAAAACCAAAAGCACCAGCAAAUAAGUCUUCAAACAGGGAGGCCUGUGCACGUAUUACUGAUGGGAUGACCUGGGGGGAUUACCCUGAAAGGCUUUUUGGCUAUCCUGUACGUGACUGUCCUGUGUAGGAUGUUCACCCCUCUGCCAAGGCAACCUGGACACCUGGGAGUUCUUGUUGACCAGCUAGGGCCCUCCAACCACAACCACCUUUCUAACAAGCCAACCACCAUUACUGGGUUGCCCUUCUCAGGGCCCCUUUUAACUCAAGGUGACUGAGGGGGGAGUGCAGCUACUUUAGUUUACACAUUUGCUCACACACACGUUCUUGAGAAAGCACAAACAGCACGGCUGAGGGAAACGGAGGCUUUUCCGCAGAAGCCAAAAUGCAAGAAAUAAGAAAACAUCCUUUGCUACUUAAGAAAGCCCUUUUCAGAACAAAUGUCAAGGAUGACAUCACACAGGCAGUAAACGUGUGGAAUUCAUGACUCCGGGACAGGGAUCCAGAUCCCCUGACGUGAAGAACCCCACCCUUAACUGCAGGCAGGAAAUACAUGACUUAGCUGUACACUGGCUAGUCAUAAAUACAUACUAAAAGAAGCUGGGAUCAGACCUAUUCUGUAACUGACACCUACUAUGUGCCAGGUCCUGUGUUAGGUACAUGGGUGCCGUUAUGAUCCCCACCUUAAAGACUAGAGGACUGUGGUUCAGAGAACAAAGUUAGAUGUCCACAGCUAGGAAGCAGCAGGUCUGGGCUUCAAGCUCAAGUCUGUCCGGCUCCAAAACCCAUGGCCUUUCCGUUUUGCUAAACGGCUCUCCCCUGGUGAUAUUCUUUGGGGCUGCUGACAUUGAGUCUGAGCUGGGCCUGGACUGUGGGCCUCAGACCCCACCCAUGAACGGGGCUCAGGGAGCUGUGCUGAGGUCUGGGACCGCACUGCUAAGGUCAUGUACACUUGACCCCCUGACCAGCAUGGCAUUCAGGAGCGUUAUGGGGAAAAAAGGAAAGGGUCAGAGAGGAAUCCCCAGGUACCUAACAGGCUCCCUCCCCCCUCAUCAUGAGGACAGGAUGGUCACCAGUAAGUACCUGAUCUAGAAUAUAGUUGCGUUUCUUGCGGGCAGCAAUCUGGAUGAGGCGGUUGAGGCACUGGGUGGCCUGCUGGAUCAGGACAUCCCAGCGGCCGGCGUAGUUCCGCUGUCGGCGUAGGCCCAUCACCUGUGGGCAGUAGGUGGUAAGGGGUGGUGGUCCUGGCUUUAGGGUAGCACUCGGGGGAGUGCAGGAUGGGUAAGGAGAGACCUUACCCGCAUCUUAUCCAUGAUGGCAUUGGUACCCAGGAUGUUGUACUUCUUGGAGGGGUUGGAGGCUGCAUGUUUGAUGGCCCACGUGGUCUUGCCGGCAGCAGGCAGGCCCACCAUCAUCAGAAUCUACAAGAACAGGCCAGGAAGGGGUGCUAUGAAGCAGCAGAGGUGGUGUGGCAUGGUGGUCCGGCCUGGCACUACCCAACUCACUGGCGACCAUGAGGGUGACCCCAAUCCUCAUGGCUGCCUCCGGAAAAUGGAAGCAAUAACAGCAUCUACCUCACAGCACUGGAGAUAGGCGAGGUUUGUCAGGCUCUUAGCAGAGGGACUGGCACAGGUGAGCACUCAAGCACUGUCGCCAUUAGCAUUUGAAUCUUAGUUCAGGAUUAAGUGGUCUCUGAGAAGGAAAGGCCCAGGAAGGCUACGCACUGCCACCUGCCCACUCCAGGAGUGGGGAUGAAAAGUGAACGGAGAAGUCCGCUCAACCGCAGGCACCGUAUCUAAUCGGUAUAAUCAGAGCUGGCAAACACAAACAACAACCUAAAUGAACAUCAAAAGGGCGGCUGGAUUUUGUGAGGCCACUAAAAAAGAUGUUCAAAAAGAAGUUUUCACAUGCGGGUCAAAGCUCAUGAUAUGAUGUCAAGUGAAAGGGACGGGAUCUCAGAGUGCUCAGUCAGAAGGUCUCCCUUAUCAAUAAUGUGCAUGCAUAAAACACAAAAAACCAAGUACAGGAAAAAGAACAGGAUAAACUCUAAAACUCUAGGAGUAUUUGCAGAUGAUGGAAUUACGAAAAAUUUUAAUUUUCUUCAUGCUUCUUGAUUUUCUAGAAUAAACACAAAUUGUUGCUAUAUUAGAAAAACAUUAUUUUAAGGAAAAGGCUCAUCGGUCCAGCUCCUAGAGCCCUAUUACCCAGAGGCCAGCUCUCUUUUUUGUCCUUACACAGCCCUAGGGUGGGGCGGGCGGGAGGUGGAGUCACCCAAUCUCCUGAGAAAACACUGGCUGGCAGAACACACUCUCAGGACACGUCUUCACCUCCUCUCUCCUCUUCUGACCCUCGGUGAAGGAGCAGCGUGGGCACCUCCUCUUGGAACCUAAGACUCAGGCACCUCACCUUCAUCCCGCCCUCUCUGGCCUCAGCCACACGAGCACCCCCCACCUCACACUCAAGGGAACCUGCCAGCUUGAAGUCUGGCUCCAGGAGCAAUUCGCCCGAGGUUACUCAUGCAGCGAGCCUGUGCUUCUUUCCCAACCCGGCUGCUGCGGGUCUCCCUUCUGCCUCGACAGCAAGGUGGCCACCACAUCAGUCUUCCAGCCCCACUUACCUCACAGUCUGCCUUGCUCUUUGGUCCGACAGUGCCCCGGAUCCGCUCACCAAGGGGAAGAUGCUGGAUGAAGGUGAAGCCCGGGAGGACAGAACAGUAGGGCUCUGCCCUCUGGCCAAAGUUGAACUCCACUGCACAAUUCUUCACCAGGACAUGAGGGUAGAGGGCCUGACCCCCCAAGGCUUCCUUCUGGAUUCGGAAGGCAAUGCCCAUCCACUUCCCAUUCUUGGUAAAGGAAAGCUCCACGUCAUUCCCACAUUCAAAGUCCUUGGAGAAAAAGCCAGAGAAAGAUAAGUGCCAAUGCUUGGUGUAAGGCACUGGGGCCACAAGUGGGAGAGACGGGAUGCAGGUGAGGUGGCUAGCACCUGGGAGCAGCUCGGAGAAAGUCCAGACCAAAGCUCUCCUUGCCUAAGGCCCUAGGAGCUGGUGACUCAAGACGGGUGGGUGUUAAACAAGCAAUUUCAAGAAGCUGCUAGUAUGCAAGCCCGAGACAAAGAUGAAGGACGAGGCCACCCUACCCGGUCCUCAGAACUGGCAAGGGCGGUUUGUGAGGCUAACAGCUGAAAGGUCACCACUGCAGGGCCUUUUGAAGUCUUGGGCGCAGUUUCGCAAAUGCACUCAGUCAACACGUGUUCCCUGGCUUCCCAUUCUCCUGGUGCCUCCGUCUGUGGUGAUCUGGGCCUGACAGAGCUCAGUGACCAGGGGACAGAUAAGGAGACUCUUUUAUCCUUUCUGUGAGAGAAACUCCACACAAGCAAGUUUCGUGAGGAGGGGACCCCUCAGCUAAGUCCUGCACAAUAAACGGGAACAAGCUGGGUUUAGGUGGGAAGAAGGUACCCUACAUAAAGAGGGUGCUGUGUGGGACAGAUCUGGAGGUGGCCACGCACGGGGUCAGACCGGUUGGAGGGUAAAGGGUGAAGGGCAAGUAAUCUCAGGUACAGCUGGAGAGCCAGGCAGGUGCUGGGUUCACUCAGUCAGCAACUAUUUACUGAAGUCCUACUGGGCAGCUGAAAUUUAGCGGUUAAGGUUCUGUUUUGGGGGGCAAGGGGGCAGGGGGUGUGGCGGCAACUGCUUCCCCUCUGUCACUUCUUAGUGGUGUGGCCUUGGGCAAUUUCAUCUUCAGUUUCCUCAUUAAAAAGCGGGGUGGUGGUAUUAUCCUGCAUAGGGGUGUUCAAGGAUUAGGGAGGCUAGAACAUCUACGCACAGUAAGCGCUCAAUAAGGAGCUCUGGUGGUGCCGUGGUUAAGUAUUUGGCUGCUAACUGAAAGGUCUGUGGUUCAAACCCACCCAGCAGUGCAACCACAGAAAAGACCUGACAAUCUGCUCCCAUAAAGCUUACAGCUGGGAAACCCUACAGGACACUCCUACUCUGUCAUAUAGGGUCGCUACAAGUCAGAAUCAACUCAAUGGCACACAACAAGCACUCGACGUCAGCUGUCACUUGCAGAUGCCAGGAACUGUGCUAGGGAGACAGGGCUGCAGGUGGAGUGGUGGAGGGGAGACAAGGUCCGUGCCCUCGGCGUGUGAGGGCAAUGUUACCUGAGGAGUCUGGACUUUACACCGAUGACAGAGCAGAGUCCCUGACUUGGUUGGAACAGAGAAGUAGCCUAUUACAACUGUGUUUCAGAAAGAUUGCUUUGGCUACAGGGUAGAGGGAGGCUCAAAGCUUGAGAUCAGAGAGUGGACUGAAGCAAAGCACACAGCUGGUUUCUGACAUAAAAGUACAAGAUGUGGUACCCUUUGCCUCUCAAGUCGGGGGACCACUCCGAGAUUCGGCUUUCAAGAAGCGGCAGAAGCACUUUCCCCGAGGAGGCCCCUUGCCCUCUCCUCAGUGCUCACAGGGCACAGCACCCUGUAAGAGGCCAUCUGUCCGCUCAUCGCUAACUACCUGCACAGCAGACACACAGACACUGGUUGGACCAAAUCCUGUGCCAGUCCCUGCAGCACAGACCCAGCCACGUCCCACCACCCGAUCAAGACUGGCCCAGGACACCUUUGCCCUAACGUGGCAGUGAACAUCAUGGCUAGCAGCCUUCCUUAAACCGCCAGCUUUACAACACGAUCUUGGCACACUGCAAACAGACCAGCGCUGCCAGCUAACACACCCACCACCGAGAGAGCCAUGGAAGAGGCGAGUGCGGUCGUACUGCUUCCGCCACCACGUUCCUAUGCUAGUCUGGGGCAAAAGGAGGCCUGACCUCCUUAAGCCUGGCAUCUGUCAGACUCCGCCAGGGCCUGGUACCUGCCUGUUUUUGUAGCUUCAUCUCUCAUACCUCCUCAUGGUCCCUAGGCUCUAAGGACUAUGCUGAAUGGAUCAUACUGCUCUCCCUACCUGUAAGGCUGUUCUGUGAGUGUUGAGAGUUUAAGAUUGACACUUACGUCUCCUCUGGAUCCCUCAGGUCAUCGAUUUUCACACCUCCCCUGAGCCCCACUCUGAACCUUUUUAAGGUGUGGCAGCCUUUAAACCCAGGAAGUUGUAGAAUUUUAAAAGCGAGAGUAGAGAUGAUCUGCUUAUAGCAGGAGUCGAGGCCUGGCGCUCCGUACCACCACACGCCCUCAGAACCUCAAGCACUGAUAGAGCACAGUUUGGAAAAACACUGUCACGCACAGAAGACACGUUACAUUCGCUGAGGCCUCUUCGGAGCAGUCUUGACAGUAGCUGUAAAAAUUUACUUAAAAAAAUAAAGAAUAUCAUCCGGAAGUACUGUGCUCCUUUAAAAAAAAACACCAACAUGAAAGCAAACGGUCUUCAAUCACUUUAAAACAAAGAUGAGAAAGUAAGGGAACAGGGAACCUAGAUUAAUGGAAAUGGAACAACCAGAAUGGAACUAAUGAGAACGGUGACUCAUUGUGAAGGAUGUAACCAAUGUCACUGAACAACUUAUGCAGAAAUUGUUGGAUGGGAACCUAAACUGCUGUGUCAACCUUCACCAAAACACACAAACUAAUAAAAAGAAAUGGCGGCCAAUGUCACAAAACAGUAUGUGUACUAGUUGUUUAAUGAGAAGCUACUAGGUUCUAAAAACCUUCAUCUAAAGUAGAAUUAAAGAAAAAAGUAAGAUGGAAAAAACAAAGAAAGAAAAAGUUAAAAAUACCCAUUUGACGCAGAAGUUGUACAUUUAGGAACAAAUACUAUAGCUACAUCCCCACGAGAAUGCAGAGAUGUGCAAGAUGCUCACUCUAACACUACCAAAUGGGCUCUAGUGGGGAGCAGGGGCAGCUAAACCACACAGAAGGUUCACAUGGGGACACAAAGGACUCCAAGGUACUCUGGUAAGUGAAAGAAAAAUAGACAGCUGUUGCCGCAGUAUCAUCUGUUCCAGUAAAGACGGUUCAGGCCCACCAGCAAAAGACUUGCUAAAUUGGUAGGGGGCACUGAUGCCUAAAUCAGAAUAUUAGGAAGCCACUAAAUAAAAUGGCAAGAAACUAUUUGAUGUCCACUAACAGAAACUGGUUACAUAAAUCAUGGGACAUCCAUACGACUACAGACUAUGUCAAAGAACAGGGAAGCCUUGCAUGAUACAGUGAUAUACAAAGAUCUCUAAGAUACACAGUUAAACAAAAAAGAGAAUUGCAAAAUAACGUGUAUAAUACACUACCUUGUGUAUAGAAAGAAGAAAAGUAAUAAUCCUUUCCCCUGUAUCUGGAUGAAGAACCCCUAGAAGGAUACCUAAGAAACCGGCACCUGUGGGAGGAAGGUCUGAAGUAGGCUUUUCACUAUGCACCUUUUUAUACUUCUUGAAACCACGUCAAUCUAUUAACUAUUAAAAAACUUUUUAAUUGAGCUGAAUCCCUUGUGACAGGGAAAGAUGGCCAAGAUUUACCGUCAAAUGGAAAAAAUACGUUAGACAGUUCAUAGAGUAGAAAUAUAAUUUUUUUAAAAAGAAAAAAUACACCAUUAAAAAGAUAAUGAGGUCACGAAAGGCAAAGGAAGGCUGAGAAACUCUUCCCGAUUAAAGGAGACUAAAGACACAGGACAACAAAAUGUAAUAUACACUCCUGAACUGAAGACCAGAUUUGCUCUAAAAGAUACUGUUGGGACAACUAACGAAAUUUAAAUGUGGACUAUGGAGUAGAUAAUAGCAUUAAAGCAAUGUUAAAUUUGAUAACUGUCCUGGGGGUUGUUUUUUUAAAAAUACACUGAAACAUGGAAUAAAGGACCGUGAUGUAUGUAACCUCUCAAACAGGUUAGAUAAAAAUCACAGGUCAAAAAAAAACAUGAGAAAAUGAUAACACAAACACGGCAAAUAUUAGAUCUGAUGUCUUAGAGAACUCUUUUUCCUCCUUUUACAGUUUUUCUCUAACUUUAAAAUUAUUUCAAAAUAAAAGCAAAAAAAAAAACAGGAAAAAA
This is a long non-coding RNA of Loxodonta africana (African savanna elephant), 12905 nucleotides long. RefSeq lists it as uncharacterized. The record is from RefSeq and is a predicted model, not a curated record. The transcript has 2 exons. Lineage: Eukaryota; Metazoa; Chordata; Mammalia; Proboscidea; Elephantidae.